RNAcentral lists this ribosomal RNA (261 nucleotides) under uncultured prokaryote. Its description in RNAcentral is "partial 16S ribosomal RNA". It matches the Rfam family "Bacterial small subunit ribosomal RNA", at positions 524 to 784 of the family's 1533-position model. The record is from RNAcentral.
UACGAAGGGUGCAAGCGUUAAUCGGAAUUACUGGGCGUAAAGGGUGCGUAGGCGGCCUGUUAAGUCGGAUGUGAAAGCCCUGGGCUCAACCUGGGAAUGGCAUUUGAUACUGGCGGGCUGGAGUGCGGUAGAGGAUGGUGGAAUUCCCGGUGUAGCGGUGAAAUGCGUAGAGAUCGGGAGGAACAUCGAUGGCGAAGGCAGCCAUCUGGACCAGCACUGACGCUGAGGCACGAAAGCGUGGGGAGCAAACAGGAUUAGAUA